AAGUCGUAACAAGGUUUCCGUAGGUGAACCUGCGGAAGGAUCAUUAGUGAAAACAGGAGUGCCCUUAAUUGGGACUCCGAUCCAUUUCAAACCCAAGUGAACUGUCCUUUUUUUAAACUCAGUUGUAAAUGGUUCCGUAUGUGUUGGUUCAUAAUAAAAUACAACUUUCAGCAACGGAUCUCUUGGCUCUC
This 191-nucleotide unclassified non-coding RNA is filed under the name Pucciniomycotina sp. RNAcentral's name for it is "partial contains small subunit ribosomal RNA, internal transcribed spacer 1, and 5.8S ribosomal RNA". The stretch from base 1 to 46 matches the Rfam family "Eukaryotic small subunit ribosomal RNA", at positions 1786 to 1831 of the family's 1831-position model. The record is from RNAcentral. Lineage: Eukaryota; Fungi; Basidiomycota.